Molecule: microRNA precursor, 79 nt
Filed under: Chinchilla lanigera (long-tailed chinchilla)
Lineage: Eukaryota; Metazoa; Chordata; Mammalia; Rodentia; Chinchillidae
Description: miRNA (ENSCLAG00000021243.1)
Source: RNAcentral
UUCUCUAAGCAUUGGCAAAGUCCUCACAGUUUCAGCAUUGCCUGUUAUCCCAGAACUUGGGAGGCUGAGGCAGGAGGAU